AAGAGAGUGUCAGAGUGGUUAUGUGGUUGGCUUGAAACCAAUUUAUGGAGGUUCGAUUCCUUCCUUUCUCG
This 71-nucleotide transfer RNA is filed under the name Taeniacara candidi. Its description in RNAcentral is "tRNA-Ser". It matches the Rfam family "tRNA". Rfam says of the family: Transfer RNA (tRNA) molecules are approximately 80 nucleotides in length. Their secondary structure includes four short double-helical elements and three loops (D, anti-codon, and T loops). Lineage: Eukaryota; Metazoa; Chordata; Actinopteri; Cichliformes; Cichlidae. The record is from RNAcentral.